UAGAAAGUCGGUACGACCGGACCAACCCGUCGGUCGAACGGUUCGAGGCGCCUAAGAGUGGACUGUGACUGGGGUG
Molecule: ribosomal RNA, 76 nt
Filed under: uncultured bacterium
Lineage: Bacteria
Description: partial 16S ribosomal RNA
Source: RNAcentral